AGAGUUUGAUCCUGGCUCAGAACGAACGCUGGCGGCGUGCCUAACACAUGCAAGUCGAACGAGAAAUUCCGAUUCGUCGGAAGAGUAGAGUGGCGAACGGGUGAGUAACGCGUGGGUAAUCUGCCCUUGAGUUCGGGAUAACUUCGCGAAAGCGGAGCUAAUACCGAAUAAAACUGACCUUGUUCCGGCAAGAUCAGUAAAAGAUGGCCUCUACAUGUAGCUGUCGCUUAAGGAUGAGCCCGUGUACCAUUAGCUUGUUGGUAGGGUAAUGGCCUACCAAGGCAACGAUGGUUAGCUGGUCUGAGAGGAUGAUCAGCCACACUGGAACUGAGAUACGGUCCAGACUCCUACGGGAGGCAGCAGUGGGGGAUCUUGCGCAAUGGGGGAAACCCUGACGCAGCGACGCCGUGUGAGUGAUGAAGGCCUUCGGGUCGUAAAGCUCUGUCAGGUGGGAAGAAAUAUCUCGAUACGAAUAAUAUCGGGGUUUGACGGUACCACCAAAGGAAGCACCGGCUAACUCCGUGCCAGCAGCCGCGGUAAUACGGAGGGUGCAAGCGUUGUUCGGAAUUAUUGGGCGUAAAGAGCGUGUAGGCGGUUGAACAAGUCAGAUGUGAAAUCCCUCGGCUCAACCGAGGAAGUGCAUUUGAAACUGUUCACUUUGAGUACGGGAGAGGAGAGCGGAAUUCCCGGUGUAGAGGUGAAAUUCGUAGAUAUCGGGAGGAACACCGGUGGCGAAAGCGGUUCUCUGGCCCGAUACUGACGCUGAGACGCGAAAGCGUGGGGAGCAAACAGGAUUAGAUACCCUGUAGUCCACGCCGUAAACGAUGGGCACUAGGUGUAGGAGGUACUGAAUCCUUCUGUGCCGAGCUACGCAUUAGUGCCCGCCUGGGGAGUACGGCCGCAAGGCUAAACUCAAGGAAUUGACGGGGCCGCACAGCGGUGGAGCAUGUGUUUAUCGAUGCACGCGAAGAACUACCUGGGCUUGACAUCCCGAAGUCUGGAGCAGGAUCUUCCCUUCGGGACUGGGUGACAGUGCUGCAUGCUGUCGUCACUCUGUCUGAAGAUUGGCUAAGUUCCGCACAGAGGCAAACCUCGUCUAAUGCCAGCAU
RNAcentral lists this ribosomal RNA (1109 nucleotides) under uncultured bacterium. RNAcentral describes it as "bacterial SSU rRNA". It matches the Rfam family "Bacterial small subunit ribosomal RNA", at positions 8 to 1124 of the family's 1533-position model. The record is from RNAcentral.